UAGGGAAUCUUCGGCAAUGGACGAAAGUCUGGCCGAGCAACGCCGCGUGAGUGAAGAAGGUUUUCGGAUCGUAAAACUCUGUUGUUAGAGAAGAACAAGGACGUUAGUAACUGAACGUCCCCUGACGGUAUCUAACCAGAAAGCCACGGCUAACUACGUGCCAGCAGCCGCGGUAAGACGUAGGUGGCAAGCGUUGUCCGGAUUUAUUGGGCGUAAAGCGAGCGCAGGCGGUUUCUUAAGUCUGAUGUGAAAGCCCCCGGCUCAACCGGGGAGGGUCAUUGGAAACUGGGAGACUUGAGUGCAGAAGAGGAGAGUGGAAUUCCAUGUGUAGCGGUGAAAUGCGUAGAUAUAUGGAGGAACACCAGUGGCGAAGGCGGCUCUCUGGUCUGUAACUGACGCUGAGGCUCGAAAGCGUGGGGAGCAAACAGG
This 429-nucleotide ribosomal RNA is filed under the name Gemmatimonadota bacterium. RNAcentral describes it as "Gemmatimonadetes bacterium partial 16S ribosomal RNA". It matches the Rfam family "Bacterial small subunit ribosomal RNA", at positions 355 to 776 of the family's 1533-position model. Lineage: Bacteria; Pseudomonadati; Gemmatimonadota. The record is from RNAcentral.